UGUAGGAGUGAGCCUGCUCGCGAUAGCGGUGUGUCAGUCGACAUCUUCAUCAGCUGACAGACCGCUAUCGCGAGCAGGCUCACUCCUACA
RNAcentral lists this unclassified non-coding RNA (90 nucleotides) under Pseudomonas moraviensis. Lineage: Bacteria; Pseudomonadati; Pseudomonadota; Gammaproteobacteria; Pseudomonadales; Pseudomonadaceae. The record is from RNAcentral.